UUCAUCUCCUCCCCUCACGGCGCCGAACUCACCUUCUUCCCCUACCUUCCUCUCUUGCUCUCGACACCGACCCGCCGAUCUCCUUCUUCCCUCUCUUCCUCGAGCGCGCGCACCCCAUCAGCCGCCGACUCUCCUCUUCUCCCUCGAGCCACACCGCCGGCUCUCCUCCUAACAUAGGCACCAUAGGUCGUCGUCCUUGUGCCCAAGCAUUGAAGCCGCAGAGCCGCCGCACGAAGCAGGGCCGAUGCCUUACAGCCGUCACCCUUGACGUCACUACGGUGAGCCGCCGGUUUCCCCUCAGUCUUGAUGCUGCUCCAUCCCUCUCUGCCCUAGCGCCGGCCGCCCGAUCCACUACCACCUCCGGCCACGACGAGAGCUGGCCAACAGGUAGCAGGUAGAUGACUCAUGGACGCUUGGAGAGAUGUCGACUGCCAGUCCUGGGUCCUCCGUUUUAUCGAUUUUAUUUUUGCUUUACUUGUAUUUUUAGCAUACAACGAUUUUUAGUAUUGUAUGAAUUGAUCGGUGUUUGGAGUUGAAUCGUGGUGUUUUGCUUUUCGUGAUCUUGUGGUUGUGUUUGGAGUUUAGUUUGGUGGUUGUAGGUAUUUUUGUUAGUGAAUGUAUUAUUUUGUGUUUUCCGUUGUGUUUACGUCGUUGUGUGUGUACUUUCAGCCGUGUAGGCUUAUUAAACUACCUGGUUGUGUUUAUUUUAUUC
This is a long non-coding RNA of Zingiber officinale, 712 nucleotides long. RefSeq lists it as uncharacterized. The transcript is spliced from 2 exons. Lineage: Eukaryota; Viridiplantae; Streptophyta; Magnoliopsida; Zingiberales; Zingiberaceae. The record is from RefSeq and is a predicted model, not a curated record.